CAGUGAAAGCGCAUCGUGCACACAGUUGUGCCCAGCUCCCGUUCUCUGAGAGCUGGCUGCCAGGGUAGACUUGAGCAAAGGGCAUACAAGGGGCAGAACUGACUGGCUGCAAGGUGUCUGGAGUGCCUUUUGUUGCCGUGUCCUUGGAAGGUGUCUCACACUGGAGUAAGUACAAUGACACAGCUCUCAGCCUGGGAAUUCAUGAGUGGUCUGCCUUUCCACUAUUAUUCAGGGAUUUGGAAGAACUGAAGUGCUCCUGGGAACAAGAAAUAGCAACCCACAAUGGAGGCGACUGCUCAGAUGAUGCAAGAUGUUGGAAACCAUUAAGGCUAACCCAUAACCUCAGACACAUUCCUCCCAUCCCAUGUCCCAGGGACACCAAGAUCCACUACCCUGUAUAUGGCAGAGCCAUUCUGAUGCUGGGAACAAGAUGAAUCUGGAUGGAAUCAGAAAACACAGGGUAUGGCAACAACAGGGAGAACCAGGGAAAGAUGGUGGGUUCAGGGCACAGCUGCCGUGUGUGUGACAAUGGACAUGCUACUGGUCCCACAGCUGGGUGGCCAGACAAGAACCAUGAGAAAGGCAGUGCUUUUCCUGCUUUUUCUGCUUUUCCCACUUUUCCUGAAAGAAAGAAAGCAGAGGUGCAGCCCACGGCUCCCACAUGCCAGCUCUGCCACAGCCCCUUGCAGCAUUGCCCGGCUGUAAAGAUGUGAAGGGCCAGUUUGAGUUGAAAGACACAGGUGCCCCUGGCAGCACUGUGCUGUAUAGAAUGCUGUGACCCUCCCUGACCUGCAGAGCUCAAACUGGGGUGGAAAUGCUGUGAAAAUUGUCUGAACUGUGGAGUUUGUGCUGUGCAGUGGUUACAUGUUAUCAGAUCAGGAACAUAGAUCCAGACUUCGGAGCAAAGAAAGGGUAGAACAUUUCUUCUGCUGUUAGCUUCUCUUCUUGUUCCUCCCACACACGCGCUGCUGCACUGUCAUCUACAGAUUUAAAGGAGUUUUAACAGCUCCUGAAGGAUCAAGCUCUCUUCACUCAGAUUACCUUGAGAAAUUAGUGUCUGAAGAAAAAAAAAAAUAAAAAAUGCAAUUGGUUAUCUACUAUGGGAAGCUGACAAAAUAUUUCCUUAAAUUGGAUCUACCUUUACUGGCUUCUGGAGGGACAACUUUAUAAGUGAUUUUCAAAGCUUUUCAGUGGAACAUGGGCGUUCUGCCAUAUAUAUACAAAUGAAUAAAACAUACUCCAAAACUUAGCAAAUACAAACUCCAGGUGGAUUGGCCAUAUUUUUGCAUCUUUCCCAGCCAUGGAGAUCAGUCCAGGCCCUUUUCAACCUAGGAAGUACAAAGCCCGGAAAGUAACACACUCAGCAACACUUUGUCCAUACUGAAGGGCGCCAAGCACGUCGUUAACACGUGUGUAUGUACAGUCACCAUCCAACACUUUGGGAAUAGAACACAUGGCUGUUCUAGGACCAAGUGAUGUAAAUUCCCUUUGCUGCAGCAAAAUUUCUUGUCUAAAUGAGCACAGCAAAGGCCCUGUGCUCCAGAUGGCCUAAACAAGGUGUGGACUUCCCCUCCAUGCACCGAAUUCCAAGCUUGCUAAAUGUGGCACCCUGCCAUGGGAAGUUGAGUCUCAAAGUGACCCAGCUUCACCUCCGGCUGGUCAGCUACCUCCCAGCCAAAGCUGAUCAAGGACUAUAACAGCAGGGGAAGAAAGUAUAUAUGUUUAUGAAAUCUCUCUCCCAGUCCCUUGCUCAAAAAAAGUGCCAUCAUCCCAAUCCUUUCAAGCACAGUUUUAUUGUUCGGACAGAGAGCUCACAAACAAAUUCCAAAACAAAGCUAUUUCCUGGGCUGAAAUGACCUAGGGCUAUUGCCAACAACCUCAAGCCAGUGUAGCUACAUUGACAGGGAAGAGAUCUAAUUCUGUUAAACCAGCCUCCCCAUACUUUAAUUUCACUGCCAGUCAGAUUCAUGUUUCAGCUCACUGCCAUAAAUCACUGAUCUUGAACAAAUAUCCAAGGCAAAGACAAAAACAGGCUUUCAAGUUUUAGCACCACAGGCUUUGAGAGCCUGGUAUAUCAGCCAGUGUUGAGCUUGGGCCUUGCUCAGGAAACAAUUGAACUUUUGUCCUCCCCCUGAGAAUGUACACUGUAUGGUGGUGUGCUUAGCAGCAUCUUGAAGGACUGGGUUGAUCUCUGGAUGCCACAUGAUAUAAGGAAAAAUGAAGAACAGUGAUAGAAACACUCCAUGCUCAAAGUAGUAUAGCAUGUCACACCCCCAUAGAAAAACACAGAAAUGUUCAGAAUAUCCGUGGGAAUGCAACGGGACUGAUUGUGAUUUUGCCAAUGCCGCGGACAUGCCAAAUCUAGCAAGCUGCCUCUGGAACCAUUGCCAUCAGCAGCUGCCAAAUAUUGCCAACCAUCUCAUUAGCAGUGAUCUGCAUCUGCCAACAAGAAAAGCUGCCAGAGUGAGUUAUAGCUGCUGAACUGUGAGCUUGAGGGCUGGUGGGCACUUAGGAAGGAGAGACACUGCCUUCAUGUCCACUAGAGUCUCUCCGUUCCCCUCAAGGUCAGGUGCGAGGAGCUGGACUUAAACUCCUUGUUUCCUUCCCCUUUUCUUCUUCUCCCAUACACUCUACAGAUAGCUCUAGUUCAGAUUCAAACAAUUUUUCCCAUGCAGAAAAGAGAGAAAAAAAUAUCCUCUCUCAAAAUAUCCCCCAAAAGAAAACAAAACCAGUGCAGUAACCAAAGCAAAGUUCUAACUCUGAGAAGGAAAACUGGCAGGAGCUCUGUGAAACCAGCUAGCAGCUACUCUAGGCUGUCCCUCCCAAGGCACUUUUACACAGAAGGUGCUCAGAAAGCAUGGAUGGGAUGGAGGAGGAAGAAAGAAAAGAUCCAAGAGUGACAAAACAAGUAGUCAGAGCAGAAACUUUGCUGUUUCACACAAACUAAUACAAAUACUGAUCAUUUAAACUGCUGUGUUGAUAUAAAUGAUGGACAAAAUAUUUACUCAGAGGUCUCUGAUCACCUUUUGAAAGCAAGCACUGCUGCACAAAAGACAGAUCCUGUCCUGAGAAAUCUACAGUCUUGCUUGCCAGG
This is a long non-coding RNA of Columba livia (rock pigeon), 3094 nucleotides long. RefSeq lists it as uncharacterized. The record is from RefSeq and is a predicted model, not a curated record. The transcript is spliced from 4 exons. NCBI's taxonomy places the organism in Eukaryota, Metazoa, Chordata, Aves, Columbiformes, Columbidae.